CGGGGUGUAGCGCAGCCCGGCAGCGCACCGCGCCUGGGACGCGGGGGUCGGAGGUUCAAGUCCUCCCACCCCGACCA
Molecule: transfer RNA, 77 nt
Filed under: Candidatus Omnitrophota bacterium
Lineage: Bacteria; Pseudomonadati; Candidatus Omnitrophota
Description: Candidatus Omnitrophica bacterium tRNA-Pro
Rfam family: tRNA
About the family: Transfer RNA (tRNA) molecules are approximately 80 nucleotides in length.
Source: RNAcentral